RNAcentral lists this transfer RNA (85 nucleotides) under Calditrichota bacterium. RNAcentral's name for it is "Calditrichaeota bacterium tRNA-Leu". It matches the Rfam family "tRNA". From Rfam's summary of the family: Transfer RNA (tRNA) molecules are approximately 80 nucleotides in length. Their secondary structure includes four short double-helical elements and three loops (D, anti-codon, and T loops). The record is from RNAcentral. Lineage: Bacteria; Pseudomonadati; Calditrichota.
GCCGAAGUGGUGGAAUAGGUAGACACGUCAGACUUAAAAUCUGAUGAACUUUUCGUUCGUGCCGGUUCGAUUCCGGCCUUCGGUA